RNAcentral lists this ribosomal RNA (552 nucleotides) under uncultured Bacteroidota bacterium. RNAcentral describes it as "bacterial SSU rRNA". It matches the Rfam family "Bacterial small subunit ribosomal RNA", at positions 359 to 935 of the family's 1533-position model. Lineage: Bacteria; Pseudomonadati; Bacteroidota. The record is from RNAcentral.
GGGGGGUACGGGUAGCAGGUCUGAUGCAGCGUGCCGCGUGCAGGAUGACUGCCCUAUGGUUUGUAACCUGUUUUUAUACAGAAAAAACAAAUGAUACUUGUCGAGGAAUGACGGUACUGUAACUCUAAGGCCCGGCUAACUCCGUGACAGCAGACGCGGUAAUACUUCGGAUCCGAGCGUUAUCCGGAAUUAUUGGGUUUAAAGGGUCCGUAGGCGGAUGAUUAAGUCACUGGUGAAUCUUGCAGCUCAACUGUUCUUUGCCUUUGAUACUGGUUAUCUUGAGUUGUCCCGGUGGAGCGGAAUAUGUAGUGUAGCGGUGAAAUGCAUAGAUAUUACAUAAAACACUGAUUGCGAAUUUUCCUUACUAUGAAAUAACUGACGCUGAUGGUGAUUAGCGUUAGAUACCAACAGGAUUAUAUACCCUGGCAAUCCACGCCCUAUGCCAUGGAAACUACCUGUUCCGGUGCUCGAGCUCACGCCUGCUAUUUCCCGCCGGGGGAUUACCCUUGUGAAAGUGACACUCGCAGGAAUUGACGGCAAAUGAAUUGACGG